GGGAGCGUGGCGGAAUUGGCAUACGCGGAAAGCUCUAAACUUUUUGCCUACGGCAUACGAGUUCGAAUCUCGUCGCUCCCACCA
This 84-nucleotide transfer RNA is filed under the name Bacteriophage sp. RNAcentral describes it as "tRNA-OTHER". It matches the Rfam family "tRNA". From Rfam's summary of the family: Transfer RNA (tRNA) molecules are approximately 80 nucleotides in length. The record is from RNAcentral.